RNAcentral lists this ribosomal RNA (111 nucleotides) under Candidatus Levybacteria bacterium RIFCSPHIGHO2_01_FULL_41_15. RNAcentral also lists the same sequence under 1 other name. The record is from RNAcentral. Lineage: Bacteria; Candidatus Levyibacteriota.
GCUGGUCUUUGGAGCGAUGUGGUACCACCUCUUCCCAUUCCGAACAGAGAAGUGAAACGCAUCAGCGCCCACGAUACUGGGUUUUCCCGGGACAAUGGGUCAAGGCCAGCA